This is a long non-coding RNA of Triticum aestivum (bread wheat), 2886 nucleotides long. RefSeq lists it as uncharacterized. NCBI's taxonomy places the organism in Eukaryota, Viridiplantae, Streptophyta, Magnoliopsida, Poales, Poaceae. The transcript has 2 exons. The record is from RefSeq and is a predicted model, not a curated record.
GCAUCCAAAAUCGAAGCCCACCAUCCCAAGGUAACCCAGUCGCACAACCAGCCCGUCCGUCGUUUGGGUUACUCACGUCCCACGUUUCUUCCCCACGAUCCAACCAUCGGAAGCCAACUCAUGCACACCCAUCUCCCCCACCCCCGUACCUCUUCCCAACCGCAGCCGCCGAUCCAGGCAGAAGUCGCCAAUCUCCUCUCCCAUUGGCGGCGGUGCCGCCGCCCUUCUGCUGGUGGCAGCUCAACGAUUGCUUGCUACCGUUGCGGCACUGGCGGUUUAUGAUGCUGCUGGGUCGCCGUUGUGGCGCCGCCGAUGAACUGCGAGCUCGUACACCGGCAUUGUCCCCUCCGCGUGGGCCGACCUGGACGGAAGGCAACGAACAGAUCCAGCGCCUUUCAUCUCCAACGGUGCGGCCUCCUCAACUGAGCGGACUGCUGGACCUCCUCCGACUAGGUGCUUGGUGAGGAGCUCGAUGCGGGAGGGCGACCUGCGGGAGCGUCGGCGGCAGAGACAGACGAGGACCCAGGUAAUCUCCCUUACCCUUGCACCCCAUCUUCUCCCUGUAUCAUGCACUCUCGCACCGGGGCACCCCAUCUUUGUCCUCUCAAAUGGCUCCUCCCCCCUCACUACUACUGCACCGGUGUCAUGCUACCCGAGGUUGCCGCCGGGGCCAACAUAAGGGUAAGAGUUCAUGACACAUACGAGUUCUAAAAUCACUGGUCUCAAUGUUCAGUGCACCUAAAACUGCACAGUAGAAAGAAUGAGAAAUAUAGGUCCUAGCGGAGCAAAGGAAAAGUGUAACAGAAAUUAGAGAGUUGGAGGGUUCUCAGACUAUCACAGAUUGAAAAGCCCCAAGGAUAAGAAGCAUUUGGAGCUGCAAAAAUGUGACAUACAUUUCUUGAAAUAUUCACAUCAUGUAUUGUGACUGAUUUUUCUUUUUGAAGGAAUCAGGGACUAAUUACAAUUGGAUGUAAUCUUGACAUAUAGGUACGCCAACAGAGGUUGUUGCAUGUCAACAUCUAAUCACAACAUCUUUGUAUUUAUUACAAACUCUAUUUUUCACUAGCAUUUUCAUUUAAAGACAAUACAGUAUUUGUUUCCAAUGGUAUCAAUUUGUAUCACUGUCGUUGUAUUCCAUCUUGACUAGAGAUUAUGCUAGAAUGAGUGAACUGCUCGACAAUGUGAAGGUGAGACUUGUUCGUUUGAUUUUUAGGUGUUAUGUAAAAAUUAUCAUGACAUGCAAAAUCUGAAUCUGGACACUCUUUUAUUCGUGCAACUGAAGUAUGUGUGUAUGGUGCCUUUUUGAAUUGCCAUGAAACUUGUACUAAGCGUCUAUGAAAAAAAUGUCUUUUCUGCUGAGUAGUACUGUGUCAACCAAAUCCAAAAAUAGUCAUUGGAAAUUAUAAGUACUUCACGAAGUCUGCAACAAAUUGUAUCAAGUAGGAACUUGAUGCUUGAUUGGCAAAAUUAUGAAGUUUGUGCCAUAAAUGUUGAUUGUACUGAAGGUUUCAUGUUUGUGGCUCAGAUUUUUGAAUUUUUUACAAGUUCAGUAGCAAACAAACAAAAGUGUUUAGAUGGCUAUCUGGAUCAGUGCAUGACCAUGUAGAUGUAUCACUUAGCUUUUUGGUUUUAAAUGCACGCGUAGAAUGAGCUGGUUAGAUAUGAAGACCUAUUUGUAUUAACAUGUUUAUUAAGAAGUUCUCCUAUAGUUUGAGAAAUCUUCAUGAGAAUUGGUCUGACUAUGUAAUUAGAGACGCCAUAAUGAGCCGAUGUUACACACAAGAUAUUGAGGUAGUAGGCAUGGAAAUUUUAUUGUUACCAAGCACUCUUAUGUUAUAGAAUGCUAUGUUCAGCUGUGCUCUGCACCUUGAGGAAGUUUUGCAUGUCCCCAGAUUGUUAUGCAUUAUUUCUCAGUAACUGUACCAAGCAUACUUAGAGGUUAUCUACAUUUUUUUGUGCUUGUGUUUUGGAUUAUCCAAAAAAAAAUUGCUCUGAAAGUGUGGAAAUAUAUUAAUAUUUGAUAAAAAAAAACAGGGCAUAGUUUAAUAGGCUAAACUUAACUUGCUGAUUGCAGUUAUCAAGCAUAUUGUGCAAGAUUUCAAGUACAAACUUGGGCCAUUGGACAUAGGAGGGUUUAAUUCUUAUUGAUUUGAGUUCAAUGUCGUGUGAGCAGAUUUGACUUUGUGAUCACUAUGUCAACUUAUGCCUGCCACAAUUCCUCGUGUUAUUAAUCUAAUCUAUGCCUCUUGAGUAUGCUGGGAUCAGACCUAAAGCGGAUAGCAACUGCUCUAUUAGCUGUCUCUCGCUUCAAUGUUGGUUCCUUUGCUCAGACUACAAUGGCUGGUGUUCUAGCCGUUGAGAUGCACAACGCUCCGUCGCACCUACACAAGUGAUAGCACAUUCUGUUUUCCUUGAUGCUGAUAUAACAAAGGGAAAGGUUGCUAGAAUUAAGGAAGAACAAAACAGACGAACCAUGCUGCCGGUCAGAUUGAGGGAAGGUGUUGCAGGUUUGAAAAUACAUUGUGAAGUGUAGAGGAGAUAAAGAGAAUUAGGCUCAUGGAGAAAGCCGAAGGAAGGGUAGAGUCGAGGGCACAACGGGACUAAUGGGGGAAUGAGUUGGAUGACGAGUACAACAAAGAGGAAUGGAUCUGAAGGUGGCAUGACGGUCAGAUUGCAAAGGAGAGCAAAAUGGUAUUGGUGUUUGCUGAGUCAAUAGCAUGUACAUAACUAUCCCGUAGUAGUACUAUUUUGUUAAAUUUGUAAGUGUAAGACUGAAAAUUCAAUUUGGCCCUCGUGCAGCUAUGCUCUUGCUUCCAAUUUUCAAAAUUCCCAUUUGUAAAAAAAAGGGCACAAAAAUCACUCUGUAGUAAUCUACAUGUUUGUUGA